CCUCCUUUUCUUGGUGGGCAUUGGGAAUACAGUCCUGAUGCCCCAAUAUGUCUAGUGGCAGAGAGCAAGUGCUCCAUGUCCCUUGGUGUCACUGUCAUGUCUUCGGUUCCGGUGGUUUUCAAUCCAUGGGUUCUAUCCUCAAGCGCUGGGACACAA
Molecule: small nucleolar RNA, 156 nt
Organism: Suncus etruscus (white-toothed pygmy shrew)
Lineage: Eukaryota; Metazoa; Chordata; Mammalia; Eulipotyphla; Soricidae
Product: small nucleolar RNA SNORA57
Exons: 1
Source: RefSeq, a predicted model, not a curated record